Molecule: long non-coding RNA, 843 nt
Filed under: Homo sapiens (human)
Lineage: Eukaryota; Metazoa; Chordata; Mammalia; Primates; Hominidae
Description: HSALNT0334533
Source: RNAcentral
AAAAAAUAAAAAAGAAACAUCCUUAUCUUAAAGUCUUCUAGUAUUAACAGAAGAAGCACCACAUAACACAAAAACAAACACGCUUUUCUAAAUACAAGGAAAACUGAAUCCUGUUCAAGCUUUUCUCCAACUGUAAAUAUGCAUGUCACUUAAUUUUUCAGAACCAUAGUUUUGUUAAUUUGUUUUAAAGAUGUAAAACUAAGAGUGAACAGUAAGACUUUGCUUGUCUUAGGACUCAUCCAUUGCAGGUUGACCUCCCAGAGAUGGGACUGACUUCCUUCAAAGCUCCAUGGCAACAAGCUAUGGCCCAGUGAUUGAGACAGUUUCUCAAAACUUGAACAUCAGUCCCUCGGCAUAUCAAAGGAAGGGCUGGUAUUUCCCCAGUUGUGAACACAGCACUGCAGAAGUUAAUUAGAAAACAUACUGUAUCCCAGGGGCCAUGCUGAAUUCCUUAUAUAGUCGGUCCUCCAUAUCUGUUCCACAUACCAACAAAACUAGUGAUGCCAGCUGCUCUGAACGACCUAGCAAGAAACUGACUCAUGGAGGAAUGCAGUUUCAACAUCCUGAUGAUUACAUCCCCCUUACCCUGACCAAUCAACAAUCCAAAUUUUUCAGCUUCUCAUCCUCCACAGUCUCCUUAAAGGACCCCUUCAUGGAGCAAAUUUGUGGCUUGAGAUUUCCUCUCAUUUCCUAGUUCAAAGGCCUUGUGAUUAUUAAACUCAUUCUCGGCUGUAAACCCUGCUGCCUCAGUGUAUUGGUCCAUUGCUGCACAAUGAGCAUACAAACCUGGCAGUCCUGUAACACAAACACAGAAAUUAAAAGGCAACUGUGGACAUUGAUAUA